GAUUAUUUCAGAUAAUAGUUUAGUUAAUCUCAUUAUUUGAUGAUAUCAUGAGCAUAUAUUAGUUACGGCAUUAAUUCCUACUAUUAUUGAUAAUAGCAUAGAAAAAUUUUUCUUUUUAAUAGAUUGAAUUUUUUGGAAUAAAGAGAGUAAUAUAAUACUCAAAUUAGGAUGUUCUGAUCUUAAUAUGAUAUUUUAAGUGGAUAAAUUUUCUCCACUGAUGGAUGAAAGAAUACUAAAAAAGAAAAGAGUAUUUUUGAAAAAUGUGAGUGAACUAUUCAACUUACUUUGCUCUAUAAGAAAUCUGACAUGACAC
Molecule: long non-coding RNA, 313 nt
Filed under: Elaeis guineensis (African oil palm)
Lineage: Eukaryota; Viridiplantae; Streptophyta; Magnoliopsida; Arecales; Arecaceae
Description: long non-coding RNA (EGUI_LNC012594)
Source: RNAcentral